Long non-coding RNA from Gadus chalcogrammus (walleye pollock), 520 nucleotides. RefSeq lists it as uncharacterized. The record is from RefSeq and is a predicted model, not a curated record. The transcript is spliced from 5 exons. NCBI's taxonomy places the organism in Eukaryota, Metazoa, Chordata, Actinopteri, Gadiformes, Gadidae.
AGGAGCAGCACACGCAGCCUCGCCGCACAACCUCCACGCACAACCUCCACGCACAGCCUCCCCGCACAGCCUCCCCGCACAGCCUCCCCGCACAGCCUCCCCGCACAACCUCCACGCACAACCUCCACGCACAGCCUCCACGAGAGAGAGAGAGAGAGGGAGGGAGAGCAAGGGAGACCAGGCGCACCUUUGCAAGGAUCAAUCCAGAGGACGUCGUCCAUCUUCCACUUCGUUGCCAGCGCCAGAUCGCUCUUGGAAUCACUCCCUUUUUUAACUCCAUUCUAACGCCAUGGAGCAGAAAAUAAACGAGACUCCCACCAACACAUCGCCUCAGAAGCACAUGAAGAACCGCUCCAAGUCCACGGACGAGCUCCAGCACCCCCGCAGGGCUUUCUCCUCACAGAAGUCCCUGCCAGGGAGACCAGAGCUGGAGCAUGUCAAGGAGGGCCCCGAUGACACGGAGUCCCCCACCUCCUCCACCGAGGAGCUGAAGGAGGAGCAGGAGUGACUUCCCCCCGCC